Molecule: long non-coding RNA, 490 nt
Organism: Helianthus annuus (common sunflower)
Lineage: Eukaryota; Viridiplantae; Streptophyta; Magnoliopsida; Asterales; Asteraceae
Exons: 3
Source: RefSeq, a predicted model, not a curated record
CGAUCAAGAAGCAGGGGGCGACAAGGGUUCUCCACCAAACCCUAACUCUCACUAAAAUUGAUCAAUUGAAGGUUUAAUUCAGCCCCAAAUCUAAUUCUAAACACGAAUUAGUGAUCACCUCACUGAAAGGAUCACAAGGCAAAGAAUCCGGAACGUCAAGCGGACACGCCGGGGGAGAUACGCGCUUGAAGGGUGUGCUCUAAAGUUUUCAGGUAUUGCAAGUAUGUGGACGAUGGUCAAGUUGAUGCUUCAAGAACCGAACACGAAAUGUUGGACGCUUCCUCACUAAAUGAAUCUACUUAAAUUAUGUAGUUUUGUAAACAUUACUGAAUGAUCUAUGUUUGAAACUAGUUAAACGACUAUGUUAAUUACUAUGAUGAAGUAUAACUUAGUUUACCAACUAAGUUUUUUUGUUAGAUAAAAUUUUGUUUUCUUAAUUCCACGUUUCAUAUGAUUAAAAUAAUGAAAUAAAUGGUCGGGUGUUACAACU